CGAAUCAUCUAGCUCGCAUCGUUUACGGCUGGGACUACCCGGGUAUCUAAUCCGGUUCGCUCCCCCAGCUUUCACCCCUCACCGUCGAGCGCGUUCUGGCGGACCGCCUUCGCCACUGGUGGUCUUCCGCGGAUCAAAGGAUUUUACCCCUACACGCGGAGUACCGUCCGCCUCUCCCGCCUCCUAGUCUCGCAGUAUCCUCUGCAGGCCAGCCGUUGAGCGACUGGAUUUAACAGAGGACUUACGAAACCGGCUACGGGUGCUUUAGGCCCAAUAAUCGUCACGACCACUCGAG
This 295-nucleotide ribosomal RNA is filed under the name uncultured archaeon. RNAcentral's name for it is "partial 16S ribosomal RNA". The record is from RNAcentral.